Molecule: non-coding RNA, 73 nt
Organism: Pangasianodon gigas (Mekong giant catfish)
Lineage: Eukaryota; Metazoa; Chordata; Actinopteri; Siluriformes; Pangasiidae
Source: the annotation of a GenBank genome assembly
UCCCUGGUGGUCUAGUGUCUAAGGAUCCUGUGUUCUCAUCACUGCAGCCAGGGUUCAGUUCCCAGGCAGGGAA